UAGGGAAUCUUCCGCAAUGGACGAAAGUCUGACGGAGCAACGCCGCGUGAGUGAAGAAGGCUUUCGGUUCGUAAAACUCUGUUGUUAGGGAAGAAAAAAUGUAUAGUAACUAUAUACAAAAGAGACGGUACCUAACCAGAAAGCCACGGCUAACUACGUGCCAGCAGCCGCGGUAAUACGUAGGUGGCAAGCGUUGUCCGGAAUUAUUGGGCGUAAAGCGCGCGCAGGUGGUUUAGAAAGUCUGAUGUGAAAGCCCACGGCUCAACCGUGGAGGGUCAUUGGAAACUAAUAAACUUGAGUGCAGGAAAGAAAAGUGGAAUUCCUAGUGUAGCGGUGAAAUGCGUAGAGAAUAGGAGGAACGCCGGUGGCGAAAGCGGCUUUUUGGCCUGCAACUGACACUGAGGCGCGAAAGCGUGGGGAGCAAACAGG
RNAcentral lists this ribosomal RNA (429 nucleotides) under Verrucomicrobiota bacterium. Its description in RNAcentral is "Verrucomicrobia bacterium partial 16S ribosomal RNA". It matches the Rfam family "Bacterial small subunit ribosomal RNA", at positions 355 to 776 of the family's 1533-position model. Lineage: Bacteria; Pseudomonadati; Verrucomicrobiota. The record is from RNAcentral.